GUACCUGUGGUGUAGUGGUUAUCACAUCCGCCUAACACGCGGAAGGUCCCAGGUUCGAUCCUGGCAGGUACA
Molecule: transfer RNA, 72 nt
Filed under: Caerostris extrusa
Lineage: Eukaryota; Metazoa; Arthropoda; Arachnida; Araneae; Araneidae
Description: tRNA-Val
Source: RNAcentral